UACAGAGGUCCCAAGCGUUGUUCGGAUUCACUGGGCGUAAAGGGUGCGUAGGCGGUCGGGUAAGUCUGAUGUGAAAUCUCACAGCUUAACUGUGAAACUGCAUUGGAUACUAUCCGGCUAGAGGAAUGGAGGGGAGACUGGAAUACUUGGUGUAGCAGUGAAAUGCGUAGAUAUCAAGUGGAACACCAGUGGCGAAGGCGAGUCUCUGGACAUUCCCUGACGCUGAGGCACGAAAGCCAGGGGAGCAAACGGG
This 253-nucleotide ribosomal RNA is filed under the name uncultured bacterium. RNAcentral's name for it is "partial 16S ribosomal RNA". It matches the Rfam family "Bacterial small subunit ribosomal RNA", at positions 524 to 776 of the family's 1533-position model. The record is from RNAcentral.